CAUACCUCGGCAAAACCGACCAGCCAGAAACUUGGAGGAAAUGGAUGCACGCCCGGCCUAAAUAAGUAGCAUCAACGUUGAUUAAUUACUGAAGGCGAGGAAAAUAAGCCAACCCGGGACGCUCCUCAAGUGCGGUCAACAUCCUUGAUAGAAACUGCCAGUAUGACAGUGAGAAAAUAGCCAGUUCAACCAUCUUUCUUCACUUCACUUCAC
Molecule: long non-coding RNA, 213 nt
Organism: Ornithodoros turicata
Lineage: Eukaryota; Metazoa; Arthropoda; Arachnida; Ixodida; Argasidae
Exons: 3
Source: RefSeq, a predicted model, not a curated record